AAUGAACGCUGGCGACAGGCCUAACACAUGCAAGUCGAACGGAUCCUUCGGGAUUAGUGACGGACGGGUGAGUAACGCGUGGGAACAUACCCUUUGGUACGGAAUAGCCUCGGGAAACUGGGAGUAAUACCGUAUGUGGUCGAGAGACGAAAGAUUUAUCGCCAAAGGAUUGGCCCGCGUUGGAUUAGGUAGUUGGUGGGGUAAUGGCCUACCAAGCCGACGAUCCAUAGCUGGUUUGAGAGGAUGAUCAGCCACACUGGGACUGAGACACGGCCCAGACUCCUACGGGAGGCAGCAGUGGGGAAUCUUAGACAAUGGGGGAAACCCUGAUCUAGCCAUGCCGCGUGAUCGAUGAAGGCCUUAGGGUUGUAAAGAUCUUUCAGGUGGGAAAAUAAUGACUGUACCACCAGAAGAAGCCCCGGCUAACUCCGUGCCAGCAGCCGCGGUAA
This 449-nucleotide ribosomal RNA is filed under the name uncultured bacterium. RNAcentral's name for it is "partial 16S ribosomal RNA". It matches the Rfam family "Bacterial small subunit ribosomal RNA", at positions 29 to 523 of the family's 1533-position model. The record is from RNAcentral.